Molecule: ribosomal RNA, 253 nt
Filed under: uncultured bacterium
Lineage: Bacteria
Description: partial 16S ribosomal RNA
Rfam family: Bacterial small subunit ribosomal RNA
Source: RNAcentral
UACGGAGGAUCCAAGCGUUAUCCGGAUUUAUUGGGUUUAAAGGGUGCGUAGGCGGAUUGAUAAGUUAGAGGUGAAAUGUCCGAGCUCAACUCGGGAACUGCCUCUAAUACUGUUGAUCUAGAGAGUAGAUGCGGUAGGCGGAAUGUAUGGUGUAGCGGUGAAAUGCUUAGAGAUCAUACAGAACACCGAUUGCGAAGGCAGCUUACCAACCUAUAUCUGACGUUGAGGCACGAAAGCGUGGGGAGCAAACAGG